Long non-coding RNA from Bufo bufo (common toad), 179 nucleotides. RefSeq lists it as uncharacterized. Lineage: Eukaryota; Metazoa; Chordata; Amphibia; Anura; Bufonidae. The record is from RefSeq and is a predicted model, not a curated record. The transcript is spliced from 3 exons.
GCGUUUUUUUUUUUUGUUUUUUUGGUAUAAACCCUUUUUUACGUGCUAUAAAUGACUUGCUAUGGAUUUGUAUGAAUGUUGGGUAGAGGAUCACUAAACAUUGCUUUGUCCCACAUGUUAAUGGGACAUUGUAAAUACAGCAAAAAGUCCUUAUACACACCGGAUGUACAGUACAAACA